Molecule: transfer RNA, 73 nt
Filed under: Chaenogobius gulosus
Lineage: Eukaryota; Metazoa; Chordata; Actinopteri; Gobiiformes; Gobiidae
Description: tRNA-Trp
Rfam family: tRNA
About the family: Transfer RNA (tRNA) molecules are approximately 80 nucleotides in length. Their secondary structure includes four short double-helical elements and three loops (D, anti-codon, and T loops).
Source: RNAcentral
AGAGGCUUAGGAUAAUACCUGAAACCAAAAGCCUUCAAAGCUUUAAAUGAAAGUGAAAAUCUUUCAGCCUCUG